UUGAGUGGAUCUGACCUUAGUACGAGAGGACCGGGUUGGACCAACCGCUGGUGUACCAGUUGUCUCGCCAGGGGCACUGCUGGGUAGCUAUGUUGGGAAGGGAUAAGCGCUGAAAGCAUCUAAGCGCGAAACCCACCACAAGAUGAGGCUUCUUUUAAGGGAUGUUCUAGAUGAGGACGUUGAUAGGCUACAGGUCUAA
Molecule: ribosomal RNA, 199 nt
Filed under: Aristerostoma sp. ATCC 50986
Lineage: Eukaryota; Ciliophora; Colpodea; Cyrtolophosidida; Cyrtolophosididae
Description: partial Bacterial large subunit ribosomal RNA
Rfam family: Bacterial large subunit ribosomal RNA
Source: RNAcentral